This 469-nucleotide ribosomal RNA is filed under the name uncultured bacterium. RNAcentral describes it as "bacterial SSU rRNA". It matches the Rfam family "Bacterial small subunit ribosomal RNA", at positions 335 to 803 of the family's 1533-position model. The record is from RNAcentral.
ACUCCUACGGGAGGCAGCAGUGGGGAAUAUUGCACAAUGGGCGCAAGCCUGAUGCAGCCAUGCCGCGUGUGUGAAGAAGGCCUUCGGGUUGUAAAGCACUUUCAGUCGUGAGGAAGGUAGUGUAGUUAAUAGCUGCAUUAUUUGACGUUAGCGACAGAAGAAGCACCGGCUAACUCCGUGCCAGCAGCCGCGGUAAUACGGAGGGUGCGAGCGUUAAUCGGAAUUACUGGGCGUAAAGCGCAUGCAGGUGGUUGUUAAGUCAGAUGUGAAAGCCCGGGGCUCAACCUCGGAAUAGCAUUUGAAACUGGCAGACUAGAGUACUGUAGAGGGGGUAGAAUUUCAGGUGUAGCGGUGAAAUGCGUAGAGAUCUGAAGGAUACCGGUGGCGAAGGCGGCCCCUGGACAGAUACUGACACUCAGAUGCGAAAGCGUGGGAGCAAACAGGAUUAGAUACCCCUGGUAGCGACUGA